ACGUAGGUGGCGAGCGUUGUCCGGAUUUACUGGGCGUAAAGCGCACGUAGGCGGAUCGUUAAGUCGGGGGUGAAAUCCUGGAGCUCAACUCCAGAACUGCCUUCGAUACUGGCGAUCUUGAGUCCGGAAGAGGUGAGUGGAACUCCUAGUGUAGAGGUGGAAUUCGUAGAUAUUAGGAAGAACACCAGUGGCGAAGGCGGCUCACUGGUCCGGUACUGACGCUGAGGUGCGAAAGCGUGGGGAGCAAACAGG
This 252-nucleotide ribosomal RNA is filed under the name uncultured bacterium. Its description in RNAcentral is "partial 16S ribosomal RNA". It matches the Rfam family "Bacterial small subunit ribosomal RNA", at positions 525 to 776 of the family's 1533-position model. The record is from RNAcentral.